This 254-nucleotide ribosomal RNA is filed under the name uncultured bacterium. RNAcentral's name for it is "partial 16S ribosomal RNA". It matches the Rfam family "Bacterial small subunit ribosomal RNA", at positions 524 to 776 of the family's 1533-position model. The record is from RNAcentral.
UACGUAGGGGGCAAGCGUUGUCCGGAUUUAUUGGGCGUAAAGAGCUCGUAGGUGGUUCGGUAAGUCGGAUGUGAAAUCUCCAGGCUCAACCUGGAGGGGUCAUUCGAUACUGCCGUGACUAGAGGUCGGUAGGGGAGUGUGGAAUUCCCGGUGUAGCGGUGAAAUGCGCAGAUAUCGGGAGGAACACCAAUGGCGAAGGCAGCUCGCUGGGACGUUACUGACGCUGAGACGCGAAAGCGUGGGGAGCAAACAGG